UUCUGGAGAGGGGCUGGCUCUGUCCUUUCAAGGAAAAGUUUAAGCACUAGGUGGAGGGGAGGGAAGCUGGCAGGCUACAGCCUGCUAGGGAUGGUCCCCAGCCCCAGGGGAUGGGGGUGGGGGGUUGGGGUCACCCCCUGGGGCCCUAGCGCAACCCUCAAGUCCCCAGGGUGGGUGGGUGGGUGGGAGGGAUAAGUCACAAGCCCAAUUUCGAGCAGCCAAGAGAGGGACCCUUGGGUGGCCUCUCGGGGCAAAGGGCCAAAUGCAGACUGGCUCGGCACCCCUGUUGCGGACAGAUUCCAGCUGUCUGAGCAAAGAGAUCCCAGAGGCUACAGUCUCUCCUCCUCCAGCAAAAUCCGGCUGACUCCACCGUGGGCUUCAGGCCUGGGCAGUCGGGGGAUGGUGUGUGGCGUGGAGUGUCUGAGAUAAUGGAUGGUCGUUACUUGAAUCACUGGGUGUCAGAGAUAAGGACACUCCAGCUCCCAUAUGCUAAAGCCGGGAGUUUGGACCCAAGUGUGUCUGUGUGCACAAGCAGAGUGUCAUGGAAGAUAGACGGCGGGGCCCAGGAGUCCAGGAGGCUGCGUUCUCCCGUGCAAAGGAGGCUGCACCAGGGUGCAUCAGCGAGAACAAACAACCAGUCCCCCUUCCCCUCCCCCGGGGUACCCCUCUCCGCCUCACCCUGCCGCGGUACAGCUCCUCCAA
This is a long non-coding RNA of Bubalus bubalis (water buffalo), 702 nucleotides long. RefSeq lists it as uncharacterized. The transcript has 3 exons. The record is from RefSeq and is a predicted model, not a curated record. Lineage: Eukaryota; Metazoa; Chordata; Mammalia; Artiodactyla; Bovidae.